Molecule: transfer RNA, 73 nt
Filed under: Stegodyphus mimosarum
Lineage: Eukaryota; Metazoa; Arthropoda; Arachnida; Araneae; Eresidae
Rfam family: tRNA
About the family: Transfer RNA (tRNA) molecules are approximately 80 nucleotides in length. Their secondary structure includes four short double-helical elements and three loops (D, anti-codon, and T loops).
Source: Rfam by way of RNAcentral
GCGUUCGGGGUGUAGUGGUCAGCACGCUCGACUCGUAACCGAAAGGUCCGUGGCUUGAUUCCCGGCGAAGGCG